RNAcentral lists this ribosomal RNA (510 nucleotides) under Calliptamus barbarus. Its description in RNAcentral is "partial large subunit ribosomal RNA". It matches the Rfam family "Bacterial large subunit ribosomal RNA", at positions 1830 to 2600 of the family's 2925-position model. Lineage: Eukaryota; Metazoa; Arthropoda; Insecta; Orthoptera; Acrididae. The record is from RNAcentral.
GUCCUCUUGAUUAUAUUUUGAGGUCUGGCCUGCUCACUGACAAGGUUUUGAAGAGCCGCGGUAUUUUGACCGUGCAAAGGUAGCAUAAUCAUUAGUCUCUUAAUUAGGGGCUGGAAUGAAUGGCUUGACGAGAAAUCAACUGUCUCUUAAUAAUUUUUAAAAUUUAACUUUUGAGUCAAAAGGCUUAAAUUUUUCUUUAGGACGAGAAGACCCUAUAGAGCUUAACAUUUUAUUUUUAUAUAGUUUUUAGUUGAUCUUUCUAUAUUUAAUGAUAAUGUUUUGUUGGGGUGACAUGAAGAAUAAUUAAACUCUUCAUUAUAAAAUCAUUGAUUUAUGUUUAUCAUGAUCCAUAAUUUAUGAUCAUAAGAUUAAGUUACCUUAGGGAUAACAGCGUAAUUGUUUUCGAGAGCUCAUAUCGACAAAGCAGAUUGCGACCUCGAUGUUGGAUUAAGAAAAAUUUUGGGUGCAGGAGCCCAAUAAUUAGGUCUGUUCGACCUUUAAAUUCUUACA